AGUUAGGCUGUAUAUGGUGGUGCAGCAUCCGACAUUUUUCUGAGACUGGCUUAGUUCACAUCCGUGAUUACCUCAAGUCUCAGCUGUUUCCCUACAAGUGAUAAAGCUUCAUUCUUUAUGGCUAAACAAAUUUUGCAUAGUGCAGAUAGACCACAUUUUCUCUGUCCAUUUUUCUGUUGGUGGCCACCUAGGUUGGUUCAGUAACUUAGCCGUUGUGAAUGACGCCGCAGACCGUACUGAAGGGAAGGGUCUCUGUCACGUGUUAACUUGGAGUCUUUCGGCUAAAUAGGAAUGGCAUACCGCUUGUUCAUUUUUAAAGAAACAUUCAAAAAUAAGAAUACGGACUUCCGCAGUGGCCAGUCCAGUUUCCUUUCCCAUCAGCAGUGUUUAAGGGAUUCCUCGCCCAUCUCCUCACCAGCACUGGUUGCCAUGUGUUUUCUUAGUGACCGUAGGGCACAGAGUGAAGAGAAACGGACAUUGACAGUGGAGAAAUUGUUUCAAUCCUGUAAGGACUGAAAGGAGAAAGGAUGAAUCGUAAGGGGCUGUGGGCCGAGGAUCACCGUUCUUGUUGGAGAUCCUGACAUCAUUUGGGGUGAUUUGAAUCUGGCUGCGUAGGCACAGGCAUCGGAGACAAGAGUAGAGAUGUGGGUUGGAGGCAAGGCAACUGACUGCCUUGGGAAAGGCUGAGGCAGUCUUACGUUUGGUAAUUCAUUUUGAAUUAAAAUAGCCACCUUACAGCCCUCCUGAGAGAACCCUGCUGCAGAGAACCCUGGAGCACAGUGACGGACCAGAAAGCCAGCCGUGCAACGUGCGCUGCCUUCUCGCAGAUGGAUGCAAACUGAGGGCUGUCCCGGCAUGAGGGAAAUGUGUAACGACAGAAGACUGUGGCCUUGUAUCCCAGGACCAACCAAUGCAGGAGGAUCGGUCAGCAUCUUCACCUUACAUGUAUUUCUACAUCCAGUUUUCCCGUUCUUCCUGGUACCAAUCACAGUGGCUUAGGGACAACCAUCUUAAUGAC
Molecule: long non-coding RNA, 1018 nt
Organism: Rattus rattus (black rat)
Lineage: Eukaryota; Metazoa; Chordata; Mammalia; Rodentia; Muridae
Exons: 3
Source: RefSeq, a predicted model, not a curated record